Molecule: non-coding RNA, 117 nt
Organism: Chelonoidis abingdonii (Abingdon island giant tortoise)
Lineage: Eukaryota; Metazoa; Chordata; Testudines; Testudinidae
Source: RefSeq, a predicted model, not a curated record
UUGUGCCAAAGUCAGAAAUAAAUAUGUUAAAUAAGACUGGUCCGAAGACCGAUCCCUGAGGAUCUCCACUAGUAAUCUCUCUCCAGCCUGACAAGUGAUCAGAGGGGUAGCCAUUUU